GACGAACGCUGGCGGCGUGCUUAACACAUGCAAGUCGAACGGAAAGGCCCUGCUUUUGUGGGGUGCUCGAGUGGCGAACGGGUGAGUAACACGUGAGUAACCUGCCCUUGACUUUGGGAUAACUUCAGGAAACUGGGGCUAAUACCGGAUAGGAGCUCCUGCUGCAUGGUGGGGGUUGGAAAGUUUCGGCGGUUGGGGAUAGACUCGCGGCUUAUCAGCUUGUUGGUGGGGUAGUGGCUUACCAAGGCUUUGACGGGUAGCCGGCCUGAGAGGGUGACCGGCCACAUUGGGACUGAGAUACGGCCCAGACUCCUACGGGAGGCAGCAGUGGGGAAUAUUGCACAAUGGGCGGAAGCCUGAUGCAGCGACGCCGCGUGCGGGAUGACGGCCUUCGGGUUGUAAACCGCUUUCGCCUGUGACGAAGCGUGAGUGACGGUAAUGGGUAAAGAAGCACCGGCUAACUACGUG
RNAcentral lists this ribosomal RNA (468 nucleotides) under uncultured bacterium. RNAcentral describes it as "partial 16S ribosomal RNA". It matches the Rfam family "Bacterial small subunit ribosomal RNA", at positions 28 to 507 of the family's 1533-position model. The record is from RNAcentral.